CUUGCACCCAAACCCAAAGGUCAUAUCAUUUCCAUGGUAUGAUUUUGUCUGGUGUGCAGACAGAAAACUGAUCCUUGUCGCCUUUCUCUGAUGCUGCUGUGCCUUUGAAAGUGAAUUCAAGGUUCAACAAAU
Anabas testudineus (climbing perch) is the source of this 132-nucleotide small nucleolar RNA. Ensembl annotates it as small nucleolar RNA SNORA68. The record is from Ensembl. NCBI's taxonomy places the organism in Eukaryota, Metazoa, Chordata, Actinopteri, Anabantiformes, Anabantidae.